CUGCUUUAUGCAGGUUCUGCGAAGUGCUUGACUCUGAAAGAUGGGAAUGCCCUUAUUGCCUGUUUACAUUGGCGUCUGACUCGUUGGCCUGACAAUUGCACUUUAGAGACCUAGCUAACUGAUUCAGAAUCAUAUCUUGAAUCCUAGAAUCCUCUCUUAAACUGUCAACUAUGCUAAAUGAAACAUUGUUCUGAUCAUUUUGAGUGACUAAAGAGUUACUACUGUGCUAAAUAAACAGCCUAAGGCCCAAGGGUUUAAAAGAUCAUUUGGCAAGUUCUGACACCUGAAGUCCUGAGUCACGUAUUCAGAGGUGAAUAGUGAACUGCAUAGUAGCAAGACUUGACCUACAAAGCAGACAAAUGGGAG
Molecule: long non-coding RNA, 366 nt
Filed under: Oryza brachyantha (malo sina)
Lineage: Eukaryota; Viridiplantae; Streptophyta; Magnoliopsida; Poales; Poaceae
Description: long non-coding RNA (OBRA_LNC002786)
Source: RNAcentral